CCCUUAGAUGUCCUGGGCCGCACGCGCGCUACACUGAUGCAUACAACGAGUUUAUAACCUUGGCCUGAAAGGUCUGGGUAAUCUUUUGAACGUGCAUCGUGAUGGGGAUAGAUUAUUGCAAUUGUUAAUCUUGAACGAGGAAUUCCUAGUAAAUGCGAGUCAUCAUCUCGCGUUGAUUACGUCCCUGCCCUUUGUACACACCGCCCGUCGCACCUACCGAUUGAAUGGUCCGGUGAAGCCUCCGGAUUGCGCGGCUUCGGCUGUCGCGAGAAGUUGGCUAAACCUUACCAUUUAGAGGAAGGUGAAGUCGUAACA
Molecule: ribosomal RNA, 315 nt
Filed under: uncultured eukaryote
Lineage: Eukaryota
Description: partial 18S ribosomal RNA
Rfam family: Eukaryotic small subunit ribosomal RNA
Source: RNAcentral